AAUAGAUACCCGGGUAGUCCUAGCCGUAAACGAUGAGCACUUGAUUGAGGGCCCCCCCAUAGGCUCUCGAUCGCAGCGAAAGUGUUAAGUGCUCCGCCGUGGGGAGUACGGUCGCAAGACUGAAACUCAAAGGAAUUGGACGGGGGCCCGCACAAGCGGUGGAGCAUGUGGUUUAAUUCGAAGCAACGCGAAGAACCUUACCAGGUCUUGACAUCCCAUUGACCACUAUGGAGACAUAGUUUUCCCUUCGGGGACAACGGUGACAGGUGGUGCAUGGUUGUCGUCAGCUCGUGUCGUGAGAUGUUGGGUUAAGUCCCGCAACGAACGCAACCCUUGUUCUUAGUUGCCAUCAUUUAGUUGGGCACUCUAAGGAGACUGCCGGUGACAAACCGGAGGAAGGUGGGGAUGACGUCAAAUCAUCAUGCCCCUUAUGACCUGGGCUACACACGUGCUACAAUGGUUGGUACAAAGAGAAGCGAAGCGGUGACGUGGAGCAAACCUCAUAAAGCCAAUCUCAGUUCGGAUUGUAGGCUGCAACUCCG
This 542-nucleotide ribosomal RNA is filed under the name uncultured bacterium. RNAcentral describes it as "bacterial SSU rRNA". It matches the Rfam family "Bacterial small subunit ribosomal RNA", at positions 777 to 1314 of the family's 1533-position model. The record is from RNAcentral.